This 558-nucleotide long non-coding RNA is filed under the name Cyanistes caeruleus (blue tit). Its description in RNAcentral is "lncRNA (ENSCCEG00000016784.1)". Lineage: Eukaryota; Metazoa; Chordata; Aves; Passeriformes; Paridae. The record is from RNAcentral.
AUGGCCAGGAAUGCUGCUGGGAUGGCCAAAACCCUCCCAGGAUGGACACAAACCCUCCCAGGAUGGACACAAACCCCCCAAGGAUGGACACAAACCCCCCCAAGGAUGGACACAAACCCCCCAAGGAUGGACACAAACCCUCCUGGCACUCUCCAGGAGCAAUUCCAGGGUGAAAUUCCGAGGUGCUGGAGGAGGCAGGGAAAUAAUUCCAAAGGUGAAUGGAAAAGGAGGAAAAAGGGAGGAGGAAAAAAGGGAGGGAGGAAAAAGGGAAAGGGGAAAAAAAGGGGAAGGGGAAAAAAAGGGAAAGGGGAAAAAAGGGAAAGGAAAAAAUGGGAGAGGGGAAAAAAAGGAAAAGGGGAAAAAGGGGAAAGAAUAAAAAGGGAGAGGAAUAAAAGGGAGAGGAAAAAAAGGGAAAGGGGGAAAAAAAAAGGGAAAGGGGAGAAAAAAAGGGAAAGGAGGGGGAAAGGGGAGAGGAAUAAAAGGGGAGAGAAAAAAAGGGGAAGGAAUAAAAGGGGAGAGGAAUAAAAGGGAGAGGAAUAAAAAGGAGGGGAAAAGGCA